GGACACGGAGAAGAAGGUGUUCCUCUUGGCUGGCAGGAAACGAAAACGGAGCAAGACAGCCAAUUACCUCAUCUCCAUCGACCCUACCAAUCUGUCCCGAGGAGGGGAGAAUUUCAUCGGGAAGCUGAGGUCCAACCUCCUGGGGAACCGCUUCACGGUCUUUGACAACGGGCAGAACCCACAGCGUGGGUACAGCACUAAUGUGGCAAGCCUUCGGCAGGAGCUGGCAGCUGUGAUCUAUGUGAGGACUCCACCUGUCCCCCAUGCCAGGCUGCUCCCCUUACAGGGGCUGGCCUCACAGGCAUCUGUUUCCUUCCCAGGAAACCAACGUGCUGGGCUUCCGUGGCCCCCGGCGCAUGACCGUCAUCAUUCCUGGCAUGAGUGCGGAGAACGAGAGGGUCCCCAUCCGGCCCCGAAAUGUGAGCCCCGCACCUCCCUGGCCCCUGGCUCCCUAUGUGAGAAACAGGAGUCGGGGCUCAGCUUAGGAAAUAGCCAACUCCCUGAGCACGUCCAUCACCCUCCAACACAAAUUCAUUCUGGCCACCUAGGGAAUGGACUUGGGCUUUUUGUAAUUGAAUUCACUGAAAAACCA
This 592-nucleotide small RNA is filed under the name Pan troglodytes (chimpanzee). RNAcentral's name for it is "retained intron". The record is from RNAcentral. Lineage: Eukaryota; Metazoa; Chordata; Mammalia; Primates; Hominidae.